This 2631-nucleotide unclassified non-coding RNA is filed under the name Hevea brasiliensis (rubber tree). The record is from RNAcentral. Lineage: Eukaryota; Viridiplantae; Streptophyta; Magnoliopsida; Malpighiales; Euphorbiaceae.
GAAAUAAAAUAUAAUAUUCGAUUGUAUUUAGUUCAUAUAUAUAUAUAAUACAUCUAAAAAAAUCACAAAAAAAUAUAUGUAAAAAUUCGAUUUUCGAUUCGGUACAAUUCUGGUUGGGUUUUGGUAUGGUUCCCGUUCGAUUUUUUGUGAAGAACUAGAAUCAAACUAAAAUAUUAUAAUAAGUUUAGUUUGGUACAGUUUCUAUCGGUUUAGUAUGAUUUUUCGGUUCGGUUCGGGAUCCUAGAAUCAUGCAUAGCCCUAACAGUAGCAGCUGCAAUUAUGGUCAUCAUUGAAUGUCAUGGAAACAAAGCUGUUCCAAAGAUUAUGCUAUAGUCAUGGCUAUCACAGUGCCAGUUCUUUUUCAAAGACAAGCAAAUUGUAUCAAAUGCAUAGAUUUGAAAGAAUUUGAAAAAAAUUUAAUAAAUGCAACAAAUACAUGUGCAUGGCAUCCAUAAAUUGAAAUGCUACAGAAUUUAUAUUCAUCAUGCUUUAAUCGAAUUCAAAUGGUAGGCCUUAGUGCAAAAGUAAAAUAGUAUACAUUACAAGAGUAGAAGGGAAGGAAGAGAAAGUGGUGACCCCCCGAUCAAGGUUUGCUGCAUAAACUUUCUUUUUUAACUUUUUAAUUUUCUUUCCCUCUUCAUUUAAUAUUUAAUACACUCUCAUUUCAUACAGGUAUUUUAAAGUAAUUUUACAUCUUCAUACAGGUAUUUUAAAGUAAUUUUACAUCAAUUUUGUCCUUUUAAAUUAAUGUUUUAUAUCAUUUUAGCCUUUAUUUUAGUUAAUUGUUGAUUUUAAUAGCUUUACAUUUGAUUUAUCGAAUUUUAAUAUUUUUAAUAGGUAAAAAGGUGUUUUGACGAUUAAAAGUGUAAUUAGAGGCGAUUCAAGGUGAUUUGAAAGCUUAUAGAUAUUUAAAAAAAAAAUUAAAGAAAAUUUGUUCAAUGAAGCAAACCCACCGAAAUUUGUAGGAGAAAUGACAUGGGGCAUGUUGCAGGCUAUGCAUAGAAAUGAAGAAGUAAUUUAGAAACAAAGAUUUGCAGAACGUAUGACAUGUUCAGUGUCAUUAGGUAGUGCAGCACCUGAAGCUUCCUUUUUGAGUUUAGCAUGGGACAUGUUGAAAUACACUGAUUUCAAUACUGGACCUGUUGACUGGCGUAAAAAGCAGACUUAGAAAAAAUUUUUUACUCCUCAGUACUAUGGUAUCUUUUGUCUUCAUCUUAUUUUAACUUAUUCUACGGUAGAAUUCUGAACCAUAUAUAGUCAUCAUUUUCUCAUUUUAUCCAUAAGUAGAAAGAGAGCAAAAAUGGAAGGAAGAGAAUAGAAGAAAGAGAGGACGUCAUUUUUCUGCUACACUGAAUUUAUUUAUAUUUCAAGUUCACAUGAUUUAAAAAGAAAAGGAUUAUAGUACUACUUCCACAUUAUAGAUUCCUCUACCUAUUUUAGCAUCUGAGGAGAAGCCCAAGAAGACGAAAAUGACCCAACAUAUGUGUGUAUACUAACAAAGUAGUUAGUUAUUUACCCAAGAGGGAAGCCUAUUAUACAUUAAUAUAAAUUUGCAGGUAGUGCUAUAAGAACAUAAAUCAUAUCAUGGAAAUGCAGACAAGGUAAAAUAGAAGACCACUUUUAUAGAGACUACCAAGAGAGGAUCACCUAAGCAAUAAGGUGAACGGCUUCAAACAAAUCACCAUAACAUCAUACAAGAAAAUAAUUAAAUAAAUAAAUAAAAUUAAGGGAUAACCAUUAAUCAAUUUAAAGUGUGUCAAGAAACACUGCCAUUGAUACUCCAGGGGGAUAGAUUACAAAUAGAUUGAUAAUUUGAAAUCACAAGCUCUAGUCAUCACUAUAUUAAUGACUAAAAAAAAUAUAUCAUUAUUUUGCAUUCAUAUUGUAGAAGAAAAUUCAAUUAAGUCUUUAUAAUUUGUGUUUCCCCUAAAAGAAAAAUUGAAUAAGGCGUUUAUACACCAUGGAGUGAGCAAAUAUGGGUAUCAAUUGGAUGAAAUAUGGCAACUAUCCCAAGCUAUUUAAUUUGACAUGCCAAGAGGGCCACUUUGUAGAAAAUCUUUGAAACUUCCUAUGCCCACCCAAGAGUUCAACAACUCUUAGUUCUCUAACUCCUUUGUACAUUUUGAAGCAUUUGCACAAUUAUAUAUAAAAUUAAACAUGGUUGUAGAAAUUAUACCUAGUAGGAAGUAAUUCAAUGGACAAGAAUUUGUAUAAAGUAAUAGCCAUAACAUUUAAGUAAGAUAUAUUUAUUUUUAAAGGUCAUAUGUCUAUAUCUAAAAUUGAAAAUAAAAUGCAUGCUCCUGAGUUAAAGUAAGUUUAUAUCAACCACAUUACCUAGUUUCACCAUCUGACAUUAGAGAAACUGAACAAAAUUUGCCUAUUUAAAGUCAUUUUGCUGAUCUAAUUGUUAUUUACUAGCUCUAGUACCUUGUUCUUAAUCUCCCAUGCCAAUCCUAAAGCUUAUCCUGAUCUUAUAUCAUUCAAUUCCAUCACUUACUCACAUUAAACUCUACAUUAUAUAUAUACAUUCAAAAUACCCACAAAAAAUGAGCAUUGCCACUCACCUCAGUAAACUUUUACUCUUCUUCUUCUCAAAAGAAAAAAAGCAGAAAUUUAAACAAUACCUGUAAU